CGAAAGUAAGGUGGUUGGUCGGGGUGGAUGAGUGGGCGUAUAUCGCGAACGUCUAGCAACCCAAAUGUUGCCUGUUUGAAAUCUCAUUACAGACCAUUUUUGCAACUUAAUACUUUUUAGCUACUUUGCAUGUUAGCUAACCCUAACCUUAACCACUAGCCUAGCUAACAUUAUCCACCUUGCUAGCGUUAGCCACCCUACCUAGCUUUAGCCUACCUCAAUACAACUCGGAUUUGGCUUAGAAACACGAUAACAUUUCAAAAGGUAAAUCAUUUGUAGAAAAACCUUUUGUCGUGAUUGUAAUGUGGCCAGAUUGACUUUAGAUACAGUAGCUAUAAUUUUAUCCAGCUAACUAAGAUAGAGGGGACCACCAUAUUUUAGCUAGCUAACAUUAGCAUUACUAGCUAUUUGACAAACUUGUGCGCGAUGGGACAUGGACAUCCCUGCCGGCCAAACCCUCCCCUAACCCGGACGACGCUGGGCCAAUUGUGCGCUGCCUCAUGGGUCUCCCGGUCACCGCUCAUGGGUCUCCCGGUCGCGGCUGGCUGGACAGAGCAUGGACUCAAACCAGGAUCUCUAUAACCAGCAAAAUGCACUAUCGAAAGUCAAUUUGACAACAUAAUAAAGCAAAGUUAUUUCCUACCAAUUAUGUUCAUUCCACUCCAAGUUAGCAAUUGUAAUCUAGACAAAACAGUCACAUUAUUCCCUGAGGUGCAAAACAUAUUUAAUGCACAAAUAAAUAUUGGCUGCAACUAUGGUGGUACUAGCUAACUCAUGUGACUACAACAGUGUACUAACUAGCAGCAACAAACUUAAACCAACACAGGGCCAUAGCAAAACAUAUCACGGUUGGUUGCAUAGUGUAACGGCGUCACUGGCCUGAAUCUAAUCCAAUCUGGAGCUAGUCAGUCUACAUCCGUAAAGCAUAGAAUUAGCUUCCAAACGAGAUCACGUUCCUCAAGCAACGUUUAUUAUUGAAGGAUGAUGACAAUCAUUUAACCUGUUUUUCUGUUAGACAAAGUGUACAGUUGGGUGCCAGAGUGAUCCCCUGGUCAUGAAUGAUGCUGGGACCUAACAGAAGCAGCAACGCUUGUCAGGCAAGACCUCAGAAUGAAAGUGUGAAAUGUGACAAGUACCCUUGUGACACCCCCUCCGUUGUUGCCAGAGUCUCCCUCAACUCCUAUAAAAAGGACACAUCAUCAUGAGGCCUCUGAUAGUGACCCGAGUUACUGCCUUGAUGAAAGACUGCUUCAUCGACGACAGGCUCUCCCAGUCAACACCAUCUCAUAAGAUUGCCUGCUGCAGUUGUUCAAGAGAUGUCCAGUCUGAGCCGAAUAUGCAGCACAGAGAAGACCAACAAGGAGGCUCUCAUCAACGUCCAGGGCAUAACCUAGUCUGGUAGAAUCAGCCUGAUCGCUGUGUUCACCAUUCUAUUUCACUGCACACUUAUGAUAUCUGAAGUGAAACAGAAAGGUGAAUGAAGCAAUCAGGUUGGUUCCCCCAGGCUAAUCAUAACCAUUAUU
Salmo salar (Atlantic salmon) is the source of this 1523-nucleotide non-coding RNA. NCBI's taxonomy places the organism in Eukaryota, Metazoa, Chordata, Actinopteri, Salmoniformes, Salmonidae. The record is from RefSeq and is a predicted model, not a curated record.